AUUAUUUCAAAAGCGCCUGGACUAUUUCUUGUAAAGGAAUAGUUGACGAGGAGGAGGUUCAUCGAGUUUUCGGCGGAUGCCUCCCGGUUGUUUACACCUCAACCGAAACAUACUCAUCUAAAACAAAGAGGCGACUCUUUGCACAAAAGAUGCGUAUAAGGUGACAA
Molecule: non-coding RNA, 167 nt
Filed under: Pontibacillus marinus
Lineage: Bacteria; Bacillati; Bacillota; Bacilli; Caryophanales; Bacillaceae
Also listed under: 1 other name
Description: GlcN6P sequence
Rfam family: glmS glucosamine-6-phosphate activated ribozyme aptamer
About the family: This entry contains a glucosamine-6-phosphate activated ribozyme that is found in the mRNA for GlmS.
Source: RNAcentral